UUAAGAUGAAACUCUCAAAUUUAGAUCAUAAGAGUUAGACACAAGACGACAAAAAACCCCCUUUCUUUGCCAUUUUUCGUAGUCUUCUGCUUUGUUUCCUUCUUCGUCCUUUUUUUAAUUUGGCGUACUGCAAACGUGAAUCGUUUUAAGUAAAUUACAUGUCAAAUUAUUUAGUCCCUUAUCUUAUUCACAGGUCUGAUAGGUUCAUUCCAUCGUAGAAAAGUUGUAUGCUUCCACAAUGAUAACAAUGGUUAGAGACUUGCAGUGUUAACUACUGCUGAGGCUGCAGGAAUGACUGUAUUGAAGACAGGGAGACUGGUGGUACUGUUUGCUGAAGCUGCCUCAACAGUGUAAUCAUGCUACUAGCAAUCUGCUCUGUCGGCUAUUGAACAACGUUGAUAGUGAACAACCUUGGCUUCAAUCAGGUCCAACUCAAUUUUGUUCAAGUGGUGUAUGGAUCAGAUUGUUGAGUGCACUUCGAGUAAUUCCACCGAGUAUACUUAUCCAGGUAAGUUCUCAAAAACAUAGCAAUUCUCAAACACAAUGCAAUAUGCGCCUCAUGAUGCAAUUCUCAGGGAUAAUGCAAUUGCUCAGGUGCAUCAUGCAAAUUCUCAGGUAUUAUCCAAUUUCUUAGGCAUAAUGCAAUUCUAAGGCACAAUGUAAUUUUAGGGCACAAUGCAAUUUCUAGGACUCAAUGCAAUUCUUGGGCUCAAUGUAAUUCUUGGACACAAAUCAAACUUCCAAAUGCAAUACAAUUUAUCGAGCAAAAUGUAAUUCUAAGGCUCAUUGCAAUUAUGGGGCACAUUGUAAACUUUUGGACAGAAUGCAAUUUUUUGGACAAAAUGCAAUUCUCAGGCUCAAUGCAAUUAUCAAGCUUAGUACGAUUUUUCGGGCUUAAGGAAUUCUCCGAAAUAUGAAAAUUCUCGAGCACAAUAAUAUUCUUGGGCACAAGACAUUUCUCAAAACGAUGUUAUAGUUGAGAAUAUAAGGUGGCUUAGACUAUCGUUUAUCAGAAGGACAAAGUGUCUCUUCCAUGGUGAUUGUCGGGCUCAAUAUUAUAGUUGUGAGUAUAAAGUAUCUUAGAUCUUCAUCUUAUUGGAAGGACAAAGUGUCAUUUUUUGGUGGUUGUCGGGCUCAAAAGAACAGUUGAGGGUAUAAAGUAGCUUUGACCUUUGUUUUAUUGGUAGAAUAGAGCGUUAUUUCAUGGAGAUUACUUGGAUGAUAUUGGAAUUGCUUCUUGCAUUUGUACCUGUCUUUUCUUUGUUCAAAGAAAAAUGUUAGUUUAUAAAAAGGGAGGUUGAUAUGUAUCUCUGUUUUGACCAGCACACUUCAGUUGUCCUUUACAUCUAGGCCUUAUUCGAAAAACAAAAAGCCUUGUAUUUUACCAACCAAAACGAAUUUAUUAGUAAUUGCAAGUAUGUUAUACCUGCUUUAGUCAUA
Long non-coding RNA from Solanum pennellii, 1440 nucleotides. RefSeq lists it as uncharacterized. The record is from RefSeq and is a predicted model, not a curated record. The transcript has 3 exons. NCBI's taxonomy places the organism in Eukaryota, Viridiplantae, Streptophyta, Magnoliopsida, Solanales, Solanaceae.